This 1520-nucleotide ribosomal RNA is filed under the name Betaproteobacteria bacterium. RNAcentral describes it as "partial 23S ribosomal RNA". It matches the Rfam family "Bacterial large subunit ribosomal RNA", at positions 1447 to 2925 of the family's 2925-position model. The record is from RNAcentral. Lineage: Bacteria; Pseudomonadati; Pseudomonadota; Betaproteobacteria.
CUAUGUAUUCAGCUAGGGGGGGACGGAGAAGGUUAGGUCAUCCAGCAGUUGGCAACCGCAAGGUGAUGCUGGUUCAAGCGUGUAGUCGUGCCUGGCAGGCAAAUCCACCGGGCUAAGAUGAGGCGUGAUGACGAGCGGUCUUGUACCGCGAAGUGAUUGACACCCUGCUUCCAAGAAAAGCCUCUAAGCUUCAGUUACAUGGAGACCGUACCGCAAACCGACACAGGUGGGCAGGAUGAGAAUUCUAAGGCGCUUGAGAGAACUCAGGAGAAGGAACUCGGCAAAUUAGCACCGUAACUUCGGGAAAAGGUGCGCCCUGGUAGAUUGAAAUCCCUUGCGGAUGGAGGUCGAAAGGGUUGCAGUGAAAAGGUGGCUGCGACUGUUUAAUAAAAACACAGCACUCUGCAAACACGAAAGUGGACGUAUAGGGUGUGACGCCUGCCCGGUGCCGGAAGGUUAAGGGGAGCGGUUCGAGAGUGCUUGCACUCUCAAAGCUGUGAACUGAAGCCCCGGUAAACGGCGGCCGUAACUAUAACGGUCCUAAGGUAGCGAAAUUCCUUGUCGGGUAAGUUCCGACCUGCACGAAUGGCGUAACGAUGGCCACACUGUCUCCUCCUGAGACUCAGCGAAGUUGAAAUGUUUGUGAAGAUGCAAUCUCCCCGCGGCUAGACGGAAAGACCCCAUGAACCUUUACUGUAGCUUUGCAUUGGACUUUGAACCGGUCUGUGUAGGAUAGGUGGGAGGCUUUGAAGCUGGGACGUUAGUUCCAGUGGAGCCAACCUUGAAAUACCACCCUGAUUUGUUUGAGGUUCUAACCUUGGCCCGUGAAUCCGGGUCGGGGACCGUGCAUGGUAGGCAGUUUGACUGGGGCGGUCUCCUCCCAAAGUGUAACGGAGGAGUACGAAGGUACGCUAAGUACGGUCGGACAUCGUGCUCAUAGUGCAAUGGCAAAAGCGUGCUUGACUGCGAGACAGACAAGUCGAGCAGGUACGAAAGUAGGUCAUAGUGAUCCGGUGGUUCUGAAUGGAAGGGCCAUCGCUCAACGGAUAAAAGGUACUCUGGGGAUAACAGGCUGAUACCGCCCAAGAGUUCAUAUCGACGGCGGUGUUUGGCACCUCGAUGUCGGCUCAUCACAUCCUGGGGCUGUAGCCGGUCCCAAGGGUAUGGCUGUUCGCCAUUUAAAGUGGUACGUGAGCUGGGUUUAAAACGUCGUGAGACAGUUUGGUCCCUAUCUGCCGUGGGCGCUGGAAAUUUGAGAGGGGCUGCUCCUAGUACGAGAGGACCGGAGUGGACAGACCUCUGGUGUACCGGUUAUGACGCCAGUCGUAUCGCCGGGUAGCUAAGUCUGGAAGAGAUAAACGCUGAAAGCAUCUAAGCGUGAAACUCGCCUCAAGAUAAGAUUUCCCUGGGGAUUCAAUCCCCCUGAAGGGUCGUCGAAGACCACGACGUUGAUAGGUCGGGUGUGGAAGCGCAGUAAUGCGUUAAGCUAACCGAUACUAAUUGCCCGUGCGGCUUGAUCC